This is a non-coding RNA of Equus caballus (horse), 1489 nucleotides long. Lineage: Eukaryota; Metazoa; Chordata; Mammalia; Perissodactyla; Equidae. The record is from the annotation of a RefSeq genome assembly.
CACCACUUCCUCUGACUAAAUCAGCUCUGAGAUUAGCUCUGUGAUCAUUUCAUUAUUCAAUCUUCUCUCCUGACAGGUGCGGGCAGAAUGCUGCUCCUGUCACACGUCAUUCUGGUGGCUUCCCUUUGGACUUAUACAAGUGAAGACAUCCUAAUAACACAACUCAUAACAUCCAUUACCAAGAAAAAAGGAAAUACAGCAUUUCUUGAAUGCAAAGUAAAAAGAGAUGACUUGAAGAAGAAUGCGCACAUACACUGGUACCGACAGAAGCCAGGCCAGCCUCUAAGACGAAUUCUCUACAUUUCCUCAAACGAAAAUGUCGUCCACGAGCGAGGCGUCAGUGAGGACAGAUACGAAGCCAGGAGACGGCAGGGCAAUCCGUCGGCGAGCCUCAGGAUCCACCACGUCGAGGAGGCGGACGCGGGGCUGUAUUACUGCGCCUGCUGGGACACACGCUCAGGCUGGAUCAAGAUGUUUGGAAAAGGGACUAAGCUCGUAGUAACUCCCUCUGAUAUAAGCCUUCCUGCAGACAUUUCUCCCAAGCCCACCAGUUUUCUUCCUUCAAUUGCUGAAAUAAAGCUCCAUAAGGCUGGAACAUAUCUUUGUCUUCUUGAGAAAUUCUUCCCUGAUGUUAUUAAGAUAUAUUGGAAAGAAAAGGAUGGCAGUACAAUUGUGGAAUCCCAGGAGGGAACAACUGUGAAGACUAACGACACAUACAUGAAAUUCAGCUGGCUGACCGUUACUGAAAAUUCAAUGGAUAAAGAACACAAAUGCAUCGUCCAACAUGAGAAUAAUAAAAGAGGCAUUGACCAAGAGAUUCCUUUUCCUUCAAUAAAGAAAGUGGUCGCUGCUUUUGAUUCUACUAAAACUUGUGUGACAGACGAAAUCUCCCCCCUGCAGCUGCAGCUCACCAGCACCUCUGCCUAUUACACCUACCUCCUCCUCCUCCUCAAGAGCGUGAUCUACCUUGCCAUCAUCACCUUCUGUCUGUUUAGGAGAACGGCAGUCUGUGGCGAUGGAAAGAGUUCUAACAGACGGUGGCGCAAAAAAGUCAACUUUUCUUCAUCCUUUAUUGUCCGUAAACGCAUCUCCUGAGGAUCUAGCUGGGCCUUCUCUCUGGGUUUGGGUUAUUUCAGCUUACAUGUGUCCUUUCUAUUAUGUUGUUAUUGUAUGAUGGUUUUUCAAACAACUAGGGAAACAGAAACUCUUACUCUGUAACAGCAAUGAAUUCUGCCAUUACUCAGGGGAGGGACAUGGGGUCGUCCUUUAGCACCACUCUCUCCAUGAUCUCCACCAGUUCCUUGAGCAACCUGCAUAACAAUGUCUUCUGAGUACAGACAGCAUGCAGCUCUUGUCCUGUCCCUUAGGGCCAUUUAACCAGAUAAUCAGCUAGGAGCCUUCCAUUUUGCUCAUUCUGACCCAAAAUCUUUGCUACUUAAGUUCUGGACUUUGUUUUUCAUAAUAGGCACAAUAAAAAAAAUCAAAAGUC